UGCCAGCCGCCGCGGUAAUACGGAGGGGGCGAGCGGUAUUCGGAAUUACUGGGCGUAAAGCGCGCGUAGGCGGCUUUGUAAGUCGGAUGUGAAAUCCCCGGGCUUAACCUGGGAACUGCAUUCGAUACUGCAGAACUAGAGUAUGGUAGAGGGAAGUGGAAUUUCCGGUGUAGCGGUGAAAUGCGUAGAUAUCGGAAGGAACACCAGUGGCGAAGGCGACUAACUGGACUGAUACUGACGCUGAGGUGCGAAAGUGUGGGGAGCAAACCGGAUUAGAUA
This 279-nucleotide ribosomal RNA is filed under the name uncultured bacterium. Its description in RNAcentral is "partial 16S ribosomal RNA". It matches the Rfam family "Bacterial small subunit ribosomal RNA", at positions 506 to 784 of the family's 1533-position model. The record is from RNAcentral.